GUGGGUAGAGCUCAGGGGUAGAGUGCGUGCUUAGCAUGCACUAGGUCCUGGGUUUAAUCCCCAGUACUUCCA
Molecule: transfer RNA, 72 nt
Filed under: Camelus bactrianus (Bactrian camel)
Lineage: Eukaryota; Metazoa; Chordata; Mammalia; Artiodactyla; Camelidae
Also listed under: 2 other names
Rfam family: tRNA
About the family: Transfer RNA (tRNA) molecules are approximately 80 nucleotides in length. Their secondary structure includes four short double-helical elements and three loops (D, anti-codon, and T loops).
Source: Rfam by way of RNAcentral